This 74-nucleotide transfer RNA is filed under the name Apophlaea sinclairii. RNAcentral's name for it is "tRNA-Thr". It matches the Rfam family "tRNA". From Rfam's summary of the family: Transfer RNA (tRNA) molecules are approximately 80 nucleotides in length. Their secondary structure includes four short double-helical elements and three loops (D, anti-codon, and T loops). Further hydrogen bonds mediate the characteristic L-shaped molecular structure. tRNAs have two regions of fundamental functional importance: the anti-codon, which is responsible for specific mRNA codon recognition, and the 3' end, to which the tRNAs corresponding amino acid is attached (by aminoacyl-tRNA synthetases). tRNAs cope with the degeneracy of the genetic code in two manners: having more than one tRNA (with a specific anti-codon) for a particular amino acid; and 'wobble' base-pairing, i.e. permitting non-standard base-pairing at the 3rd anti-codon position. Lineage: Eukaryota; Rhodophyta; Florideophyceae; Hildenbrandiales; Hildenbrandiaceae. The record is from RNAcentral.
GGCUAGUAUAGCUUAAUGGUAGAGCAGCUGAUUUGUAAUCAGCCGGUUAUGGGUUCAAGUCCCCUUACUAGCUU